RNAcentral lists this transfer RNA (73 nucleotides) under Patescibacteria group bacterium. Its description in RNAcentral is "tRNA-Arg". It matches the Rfam family "tRNA". Rfam says of the family: Transfer RNA (tRNA) molecules are approximately 80 nucleotides in length. Their secondary structure includes four short double-helical elements and three loops (D, anti-codon, and T loops). The record is from RNAcentral.
GCCUCUAUAAUUCAAUUGGAUAGAAUACUUCCUUGCGGAGGAAGAUAUCGGGGUUCGAGUCCUCGUGGGGGCA